RNAcentral lists this ribosomal RNA (253 nucleotides) under uncultured bacterium. RNAcentral describes it as "partial 16S ribosomal RNA". It matches the Rfam family "Bacterial small subunit ribosomal RNA", at positions 524 to 776 of the family's 1533-position model. The record is from RNAcentral.
UACGAAAGGGGCUAGCGUUGUUCGGAAUUACUGGGCGUAAAGCGCACGUAGGCGGCCUUGUAAGAUGGGGGUGAAAUCCCCGGGCUCAACCCGGGAAUUGCCUUCAUGACUGCAAAGCUCGAGGAUGCGAGAGGUGAAUGGAAUUCCGAGUGUAGAGGUGAAAUUCGUAGAUAUUCGGAAGAACGCCAGUGGCGAAGGCGAUUCACUGGCGCAUUGCUGACGAUGAGGUGCGAAAGAGUGGGGAGCAAACAGG